Plutella xylostella (diamondback moth) is the source of this 474-nucleotide non-coding RNA. The record is from RefSeq and is a predicted model, not a curated record. Lineage: Eukaryota; Metazoa; Arthropoda; Insecta; Lepidoptera; Plutellidae.
CUUUAUAUAUUUCAUAUGAAGUUAAUACUUUUCAGAAAGCUGAUUCUCAAAUACGCGUCGAAAAACAAAAACCAGUUGGGCUGAAUCUUCAAAGAACCAAAAUUAAGAAAACACGAAAUAAUAUUUUUCAGACCAAAGAGUUACUGUAACGCCCCCCACAUCGCAUAGCCGCCAAAAGGAAUGCACAUUCCUGCAGCGUGCAUCGCCUCAACCUGAAUGAUGAAGAAUCUUCUAAAACCACGAGCAAUACCAAAGAGUUACUGUAACGCCCCCCACAUCGCAUAGCCGCCAAAAGUGCAUUCCUGCGCAGCGUGCAUCGCCUCAACCUGAAUGAUGAAGAAUCUUCUAAGGCCACUGACGGACAAUGUAAACUCAUGAAAUAUCACACCUACAACAAGUUAGAAAAGCAUAAUGAAGCACAAUCCAGAAAAAAGUUAAAAUGUCUAAUAAAUAACUAUUUAAUGCUCAAAAAAA